Molecule: RNA transcript, 9197 nt
Organism: Odontomachus brunneus
Lineage: Eukaryota; Metazoa; Arthropoda; Insecta; Hymenoptera; Formicidae
Gene: TBPH
Gene name: TAR DNA-binding protein 43-like
Exons: 5
Source: RefSeq, a predicted model, not a curated record
ACCGCGGUAUUCCUACGCGCCGGUCGCGGCACGCACAAUGCACGCGUAAUCCGCCGUAAUCAUCAAGAUCGUUCAUGUGCGUGAAGAUAGAAGUGGUCAUAGAAAAAAAAACUUUAUUUUUUAUUGCCGCUUGUGUAUUGCAUAGUGGAGGCUCAUUUUCUCAGUGCUCGUGUCAUUAUUGCGUACGAUAAAAUUGAGUGAAAUUUUCCAGAUAAGACGGGCGCGGAGCUUUCCGGUGGCGCUGGUGUUGUAGCCGCCCUGUUGUGUUAGAGAACGAGGAGAAAGAGGUGCGGUGUUGCGUGAUUGGGAGCGAGCGAUCGUAGCGUGUGUGUUUGUUGUGUUGUAAGCGAAUUAAAAAUCCUUCAUAUCUUCUUUUUCGUGAACGCGGAUGCAUACGAAGUGAGAAAAGUAAAAUCGGGAGCGAGAGAAACAAGGGAAAAGAGAGAGAGAGAGGGAUUGAGCGAAAGGGAGAGCAAAAGUGUGUGAGAGAGAGAGAGCGCGCGAGAGCGUGAAAAGUACACGCGUUAGAAAGAGUGAAAGAGCGCAGAGCGAGAGAGAAAAAUUGUCGCCUAAUCUGCUUCGCGAAUUCGUCCGUCCGUCUGCACGACUAAGAGAAAAAAAGGUAUAAGAGAGACAAACAUGUCGUCCUACAUCCAGGUUGCUGAAGAUGAAGGCGAAGAGCCUAUCGAGCUGCCCACUGAAGAUGACACUACACUCUUACUCACCACUUUGUCUGCCCAAUUCCCCGGCACCUGCGGUCUCAAGUAUCGGAACCCGGAGUCUCGUACGAUGCGCGGAGUUCGGUUGGUUGACGGACGCCUGCAUCCGCCUGAAAAUGGUUGGGGCAAAGCCAUCUACUUCUGUGUGUUCCCCAAAGCUAAGACUAAAAGAAUGGAAACGAAGUUGCGUUGCACUGACUUGAUUGUACUUGGUUUACCAUGGAAAACUACGGAACAGAACUUGCGCGAGUAUUUCGAACAAUUUGGUGAAGUUUUAAUGGCUCAGGUAAAGAAAGAUGCAAAAUCUGGACAAAGCAAAGGAUUUGGCUUUAUUAGAUUUGGAAGUUAUGAAUCACAAUUGAGAUGUCUCGCUCAACGUCAUAUGAUAGAUGGCAGAUGGUGUGAUGUCAAGGUUCCCAACAGUAAGGAGGGAAUGAUUCAGCAAGUACCCUGCAAGGUAUUCGUCGGGCGCUGUACAGAAGACCUAACUGCUGAUGAUCUGCGAGACUAUUUCUCCAAAUUUGGCGAAGUCACGGACGUGUUCAUCCCGAAACCUUUCCGUGCAUUUUCGUUUGUUACUUUCCUAGAUCCCGAAGUCGCCCAGUCAUUAUGCGGUGAGGAUCAUAUUAUCAAGGGCGUGUCGGUGCACGUCUCGAAUGCCGCGCCCAAGUCCGAGGGCAAUAACAAGAAUUUCAAUAAUCAAGUAAACUCGAAUAUGCGAGGCAGAGGCGCACCGGGACCCGUUGAUAAUAACGUACAAGGCAAUUAUCAGGGAAAUCGAUAUAUGGGCCACUCCGGUAAUAACAUGGGUCCAAACGGCUGGAAUAAUCCUGGAAAUCGCGGCAAUCUUGACAUGCCGAAUCUGCAGGCUCUAGGCAUUACUGGACAGAACAACGGCGGUGGUGGCGGCGGCGGUAUGUCGAAUCCGUUGGCUAUGGGCAGUUUGAAUUUAUCCGCUUUGCCAGUUAAUCCAGCCUUGAUGGCUGCCCUGAAUCAAGCUUCAUGGGGCUUAAUUGGUAACCUGCAGAAUCAGGGAAACGACCAAAGUUAUUCAAACCAGCCAGGUCCACCGGGCCAGCCGCCUUCCGGUAAUAAUAGCAUGGGCAAUUCCGGCAACUCCGGAUUUCUCAGUUGGAUGAAUCAGGGCGGCGGCGAUGGCAACACCGGCAAUCCAGGCACCGGCGGCCCAGGGCCAAAUAAUCCUAAUGCAUCUCAGGGCGCCUGGCAGAAUCAUCCGGGCCAACGCGAUCAGAAGUCGAAUACAUUUCUCAAGUACGAGUAAAUUCAACCGGGGCCGUGGAUUUACUCGUAAUAGACGGAUUCUCUCCGCGGGUCCCGGCGCACGUACCUUAACGAACGACAACGGUGGCAGAGUUCAGCAGCAGCAGCAGCAGCAGCAGCAACAACAACAACAGAUCGAGGGUACAAAGCGCGUCGUUCCCGGGAAGAAGGGUCGGAGCCUACUACGUUGAUGUCUCUUAUUUUUUCUUUUUCUUCCUGUUUUACAUCAAUCGCCGUCAUUUCGCGCAUGGAUAAAUACAUUGAGUACCCCCGACAUAAAUGAACUGCCCCGCUGUUCUUAUAGGCUUGAUGAGUUAGCACAAUUCCGUUCGUUGGAAGAGUUAGGCAUGUGCGUGUAAACACGGAUAGCUCCGAUCAUUUUGGACAUAUGUAAACUUCCUUUGUUUGUAUGAUUUCGUCUGAGCGUAUAAUUCUACUGGAAUGGAAAUGAUUUAACUGAUGUGUGAGUUUAAUAUUUGUACAUGAAAUGUAUCUGCGCGUCAAAGUUGAAAUUAUACAACUAAAUAUGUAUGUAUGUGCUUAGUGUAAUGACUAGUACAUUUGUGAUAUACAAAUGAGAGAUAUUCAGCAAGAGUUGAGAUCGAGGGAGAUUCGAGUUACUUUUAAUCAGUUGCCAUUAUGAUUAAAUAAUCAAUAAAAUAUUCGAGUUCUCUCGUGCUGUACAAAAAAUGUAUAUAUAUUUUUGAAAAAUAUGAAAUAUUUUUUUCAAAUGAACUGUAACUAUCAGAAAUCAGAGAUAAUUAUUGGUUUUAUUUAUCUGUUCUAUUUAUAUGUAUGCCAUAAAUUGCAUUAAACAAUAAUAGCUUGAGUCUCUCUCCGUCGCAAAUCUUUUCAAUAAGCGUGGCUUUUUAAUGGACAUUUCUUUAAAAAGGCUUUUUAGGUUAUAUUAAAAUUAACCUUCAGCUAAUCAUUAACCAUGAUUAAUUAAAUUUUCUCUUUCUGUCUACAUCACACAUUUUGUUACAUUUUGUGAUGUAGAAAGAAAUCAGAAUAAAUAAUCGAAUAUAUUAGUUAAUUGAAGCUGUCGGUGUAUUGGGCACCGUAAUGUGGCAAAUGUGGCAAUAUACACUGCAAUCGCGAAAUUGAAGUCGUAGGACUUGCCAUGUCUUGUCGGAUUGAAUCGAGUAACGUUGUAUUGCUAAACAUUGUCACUUAUUACUGACAACUAUUUAUUUGUUGUACAGUAUAAGUUGUACAUCUCAGCAUCGCUUUUUUGACAAUUUUAGAAGCUUUACAUGGUGUACUUUCGAAUACUAAUAUAAAAGACUAUUUCACUGCGUAAAACAUACUUUCUUCUUUCGAAUUGGAUAGUCUCGUUUAAAACACCACAGUCUCUUUUGAGAUAUGUUUUUUCCAGUGCAAUUAGUUAUCCGCGAUUCCUUAGAAUUAAUUACCAUUUUUAUCAUUCUACAUCUGUUUGAAUUAAUAUCGUGUAAUUGGCCCACCUCGGAUUUAUCAAAGCAUUAUAAAAGUUAGUUUCUAUAACGAGCUAAACAAUAAAAUACUACUAAUAAUUUUUUGUAUAAUAUUUUCACAAUUGUCUAAAUAAUAGUUGACUUGAAAACAUCUUUUUAGAUAUUGAAUAGAUUGAAAAUUUUCUUCAACUGUGGUACAGAGUUAUCCCUGCUGACGUAGUCUUAUUUUACAAUAGUAGUCUUUGAUUGAUCCACGCUAAAGAUUGCCUUUUAAUGGAGUGCCAGUGAACAAAUCGAUUUUUUGAAAGAAUGAGUAAUAUGAUUGGAAGUGUAUGAAUGUGUCAGGAUAGAGGCGUCACAUGAUGUUGAGAGAAUGAUCGCAGCUACCCGUAACGUAUGAUAUUUACUGAGUUAAACUUCUGUUUCAUAUAUCUCGAGUGUAUACAUAAGUACUUUAUUAUGUAAGAAUUGUAUUUUACACUGGUGUGUAGGUGUGUCAAAAUUAUUGAUUGUUGGUGUGUGUGAAAGAAAGCAUUUGAAUUAGAUUCUUUUAUUUAAGUUAAGUGAUGUGAAAGAAAAAACUAAAAAUGUCUAGAAGUGUGUGUCUUAUAUGUACGUACAGACACAUAAAACAUUUCUACAGGAUAUUUGACGCAAGACGUGUUAUCGCUGUUAGAGUUCAUUGUUCAACGCUCGUAAAGUAACGCAGAUAAAACUCGUUAAAUUAAACAAAAAAAAGUCACUUAUCAUUUAAUGAGUUCUACCUGCGUAUGUUGGAACGUCUUAUGUUAAAUAUUCUGUAUGUGCUGUAAGUACUGAGUGCGUCUUUGAUGACAAGAUUCUCAAACUGUUUCCUUGAACGACAAUGAAAUAAGUAGCUUUACACGUUGAGAGUAUUUAUUUAAAAAAGAGUCUCUAGUAACACGACGAGGAACGAUGCAAUUCACAUCUCACAAUUAUAGUCAAUAACUUUAACAUACGGAAUAUAUAGUUACAUCGCAUAAUUAAACUUAAAGACCACAUCUGUCACCGCGACAUCACUGGUGUGUACUGCAUUAAGAAAUUAUUUAGAUCGACUAUCUUUUCUCAAAAUGCUAAUUAUCUUAUGAGUAUAUACUAUUGAAAGAGAAAAAAUAAAUUAAUACUAAGAGAUGUAUAUGCUGUUGUACUCUUCAUUUAUUGUACAAGUAAUUUUUCAUAUACUUCCUAUUUGACGCGAGAAUAUUGCUGCUCAUUAAUAUAUGCGAUCUAUUAAUAAUAAUCUCUCUCGCACAGUACUCUUUCUCUCUCAUUAGCGUCGAUUCUUGUCGUUACACGUGUCAUCAUGUACAAACAAUUGAAAAAUUCCUGACUUUUAAAUCAGACAAUUGGAGUGUUCGAUACAGGCACGAAUCAUUGUGUGUAUGACGGUUGAAUGUAUUUGUUAACGGUCGUCUCAGAGCUACAGGCAUGAAAGUUUUCACUUAGUAAAAAUGAUAAUGAUGCCGUUUGUUCAAGAGCACGCACGCGUGUUACUCGGCAACGCAAGAUGUAGCAAAAUGAGGUGACUGAAUUAAUAAUGUAAGGCGAGCGGAAAAUUGCUGUAUAAGUCUUAGCUUGAGAGUGAGCAAAAGUGGUUUGAUGUGUGUUUGGUAUAUACUUGACCGAGAUUGUUUAUAUGCAUAUAUGUAAAAAGAUUAAAUCAGAUUUAAAGUGGGAAUAAACAAUAUAGAGCUCGUUGAUCGACAUUCUGCCGCGCUUCUUAAGUCUGUAAAUUGUUAGAUCAAUAUACACAGAGGCUGUAGUUUAAGACAACUUUUAACAGACAUUAGAACCGUAAUUAGCUUGUCGCUGACGCACAAACGUUCGUGCUUUUAAUAUAUUAAUAUACGGAAAUAUUUUCAGGGAACGCAAUUCCAAUACGCAAGAUACGUGAAGUGAAAUGAAGUAAAAUAUAAUUUGUACGAGAAGUAAAAUAAAGUGUGGAUGACGAGAGACAACUGUAUGAUGGACAGUAGUCGGUUAAUCAGUCUGAACAUUCGUGCGUCAGUAGUCGCGAUCACGGAUCAUUUCAAAUCGUUUGAAAUAACGAUGCCUGCGGCAUGCGUUUUGGUGUACUACAAAUUGAUCGAUUGCGAUCGAGAACAACACGACACCGUAGAUAAGCUCUUCGUGAUCCCUCAAUAAUUCAAUCUGUAGAACAGUGAAAUUUCACGCGAUGAGACUUACUGCUCAAAGGAGUUGCCUUGCAAAACGAUUUGAAAGUGAUCUACGAAAUAUGUAAAUACGGAUUGAUAAAGCAAUUUUAAUAUCGCUCAUAUAAAAUGUAUCGAAUUUUAUUGUAAAGUUAGCUGCGUUCUUGUAAAUCGCUCGAUAUGUUAUUGUAUUCUGAGAGAGAGAGAGAGAGAGAGAGAGAGAGAGAGAGAGAGAGAAUGAGAGAAGGAAGAGAGAGAGAGAGAGAGAAAGAGAGAUAAAGAAAGAGAGAGAGAGGGAGAGAGAGAAAACGAAACUGUGCAUGGCAGUUAGUUGAGUUGAAACGUGUGUCGUGAAAUAUUGUCGUGUGAGAAUGUUGGUUUUAAUCCGUCGAUCUCAAUUGUUGAGGGAUUUCGAGCCGCGUCGCGAGAAAGGACUCAGUGAGAAAUAGAAUCCGGCUUUCUUCUUUUUACACUUUUGAGAUACUUUGAGCUAUAAACUCGAAGCUGAAUGAGAGUUUACUCAUCGAGGAUUUUUUUACCUGUACCGUGUGUUGCGCGAGACUUUGUGGAUGUAAAUUAUUAGUUUGAUGAUCGCAAACAACGUAUCUAUACAUACGUUUUCUAAUUUGUAUUGACGACGUGAAAUCGUAAAACAUUCUCCGAGUCGCCACGGUGCAAAAAUACUCAACGUCGUCCUCCGUUGAUUGUAGUGUAUGUUAAACUAUGCCGAGAAUAAAAAGACCCAAACACCGUGGGUAUCACACAUAUCCUUUCACGUGUCUUUAAAUAUUGAGCUAACGCACAAUUGUACACUUCCUGGUUGUCCCAGAAUUAGUGGAAGAUGGAUACGUAGUUUGUUAUCUCUUGUGGAAUUUGAAGUCGAGUUUCGUUAAGAAUAAUACUAAGGUAUUAAGUUUUUGAAGACAAGUGAUUUUCUGCAAACUAAACUUCAAAAAUGAAAGUGGAGCACAUGAUUUGAUAUUAUUAUAUUAUUUUAUAUUAUAAUCUAUAAAAUAGAUUUCUUUUUAGUUAAAUGUGUCAAAAUGAUUCUGAAUUUAAUGUGUUAAAAUGAAAUUCGUAAAAUUGCGAGAAGUGAUGAUCUUUCUUCGUCACAAAUUGACUCCAAACUGCGUGAGAAACAAACUCUACGUAUCUAUUUUUGGCGUUAAUUCUAGGAUACCCAACAUCCACAGUAUAUUUAAGAUUUGUCCAAUGUUAACACAUACAUCAGACAAGCAACUCAAUACGCAAUAUUUUCUUAUUUUAUCAUCCAAAAAGCGUGGUGACUCUUUGAUAUUUUCAAGAAAAUCAUGCUUAUGCAAUAAUGAGCAAUGCGCAAGAUUUUAUUUUAUUCUUAUGAUUCAUCAAUCUCUCACCGGGAAAUACAGUUAAGCUUAAUCAGGAAUAUGUAAUUACAUCGCGAUAAGGGCGCGGUUGUAGGGCAACGUUUAAAACAGUAGAAUCGUGAAAACAAGCAGAAGAGUACGAAAGGUAAUGUAACAGUGCACCGGUAACCGGCCUUUUGGGUGAUGAUGACUGAAUGAAGAGAUGAUCGCUAUGGUAGACGUAAAACUAUGGAAACAUCCGCUGAUCCUCAAAAAAAACAGGUGAUUACGAUCUUUUAUGAUGAUGAUAUUUCUUUCAUAACGCCUCAUACAUCACCUCAGUGACCAAAUGUAACCACUUAGAGUAAUCAUAAUUAUUAUUGAUACUGACUUACCGUCAUCUUCAAAACGUUGAUUUUGUACGUUGAUUUUAACAAUAGUUUGACGAUAUUUUCUUUUUGUUAAUCUUAUCACAUUGACAUGUUCGUAAUAUUUUCUCUUCGCAGUGAAACAAAUUAGUUAUGAAUAUUUGUUGUUUCUCGAAUAUUUCGCGUGUGUGCUUUUUCUUAUUACUAUUAAAAGUAUUAUUAGAAUUAUUAUUUUUAUAGAAGAAAAUAUUACAGUAAAUGUCAGUCAAUUUCAAAUUAUUUGUAACUGUUUUAUUGAUAUGUAUCUCUUAUGAAGAUUCGCUUAUUUUUCGCAUUUUUACAUUAUAUUUAACAAAAAUCUUCACUUUUUGUCAUUAUGAAAAAUUGAUAUGACAAAAAUUUAUGUGAAUUUUGCUCAAUUGUUUUGACUUCGCAUCACCAAUGAUCUUAUUCUUUCUUUAUCCAUUUGUGGAAAAAAUGAUCUUCGCGCAAAUGAAAUUAGUGUUUUUUACAAAUUUUUGUUGCACGCAAGAUUAUACUGUAUUUGUAUUUCUAAGUUCGCUUUCCGUUUUUUAUUUUUUAAGAAUAUAAUUAUCACAUACACAUAUUUAUCCUGCGUGAUUGGAUAAUAUUUAUUAUUAUUAUUAUCGACGAGAAGUAAAAUUUCAGGCAUAUCUUCCGCGCAUUUACAUAUUUUUCUCAUAAACAAGAUACGAAUGGAUAGCGGGCCGAAUUAUCUAUGAUUACUAAACUACUAUGAUUAUUACUAAAGGUGAAUCCAUUUUGUAUUAAAAAUAUAUAUUAAAAAAUAGAUAAGUAAAAUAUAAAAAAUAUACAUUGUGGCAGUCAUACCAUCCAGUUUUCUUAUGUUCAAGUCUCGUCCUGGAAUACAGUAAGACUCACUGGUCGUGAUACUAAAGUAUAAGUUGGAAUGUUAGUACUUUUAGUUAGUCUGACUUCGAGUCCUCGCUUAAGCCGGACACUAAUCCUAUAUCCGAUUUUGUUCAACAGCCUGGAUGAGUAUAUUAUGUCAUGAUGAGUCCGUACGUGAAUAUACCUCUGGAUAGAUACGAAGUGUUGAUGCACGUGGAAGAUCGAAAGCGAGUGAGCGAGAAAGAGAGAGAGAGAGAGAAAGGUGAAAGAAUUGGAGAAGAUAUGAGAGAGCGGGAGAGAGAGAGAGAGAGCGAGAGAGCGAGAGAGCGAGCGAGCGAGCGAGCGAGAGAGAGAGUAUAUCAUUGCAGGAGAAUAUAAUUGCAAGUGGGAUGAUAUAUGUGGCAAGUGAUGAUGAGGAUGAGCAUGAUAAUAAUGAUGAUAAUGAUGGUAAUGCACUGCGUCGAGAGCAAGAGUUGCUAGACCGUGAGAACGAGUGCUUUUUGAAAGCGUGGAGUUUUUUUCGUACGCGUGCUGUUGAUAUUGCAAGAGCAUCUUUCGCGAUCGACGUUGAUCGUUGAUCGUUAAAUGCUGUGCAUGCUUUCGCGACAAGAAACAGGUAAUUCCAGGCAGUCGCGAAUGCAGAAAUUAUGAUUGGAGAACAGAUCUGUGGAGAUUUAUAAGAGGUCAUGGCCGAUGACAUACGGCGAGGAACUGUGGGAUUAAAGUAUAUAUGAUGAUGUGUUUAUGUACAUUUCUCUUUCAUGUUUCAGAUUAAAUAAUAAUUUCUAUAUUAAUUAUUUAUCUAGAUAUUUAUUAAAAAAUUAUGAGUAUUACAUAUAAUAUAAUAUAAUAUAAUAUACACGCUUAUUGUAACUUACAUAUAAAUUGUAACUACAUGAUGUGUAUUUGAGACUUUCUCAAUUAAUGUGAUGACAGUGUUCUUUCUAUAUUACCAACGAGAACAUAAAUAAUCUAUAAAAGGCUGAUUCCUGAAGAAGUAAAUAUUUAUUGUUCAAAUGUA